GACGAACGCUGGCGGCGUGCUUAACACAUGCAAGUCGAACGGAAAGGUCCUGCUUUUGUGGGGUGCUCGAGUGGCGAACGGGUGAGUAACACGCGAGUAACCUGCCCUUGACUUUGGGAUAACUUCAGGAAACUGGGGCUAAUACCGGAUAGGAGCUCCUGCUGCAUGGUGGGGGUUGGAAAGUUUCGGCGGUUGGGGAUGGACUCGCGGCUUAUCCGCUUGUUGGUGGGGUAGUGGCUUGCCAAGGCUUUGACGGGUAGCCGGCCUGAGAGGGUGACCGGGCACAAUGGGACUGAGAGACGGCCCAGACUCCUACGGGAGGCAGCAGGGGGGAAUCUUGCACAAUGGGCGGGAGCCUGAGGCAGCAACGCCGCGUGCGGGAUGACGUCCUUCUGGUUGUAAACCGCUGUCGCCUGUGACGAAGCGUUAUUGACGGUAAUUGGUAAAGAAGCACCGGCUAACUACGUG
This 468-nucleotide ribosomal RNA is filed under the name uncultured bacterium. RNAcentral's name for it is "partial 16S ribosomal RNA". It matches the Rfam family "Bacterial small subunit ribosomal RNA", at positions 28 to 507 of the family's 1533-position model. The record is from RNAcentral.